ACGGGGAGCAGCAGGCGCGAAACCUUUACACUGCACGACAGUGCGAUAAGGGGACCCCGAGUGCGAGGGCAUACAGUCCUCGCUUUUCGUGACCGUAAGGAGGUCACAGAAUAAGGGCUGGGCAAGACCGGUGCCAGCCGCCGCGGUAAUACCGGCAGCCCGAGCGAUAGCCACUAUUAUUGGGCCUAAAGCGUCCGUAGCCGGCCGAACGGGUCCGUCGGGAAAUCCACCCGCUCAACGGGUGGGCGUCCGGCGGAAACCAGUCGGCUUGGGGCCGGGAGACCAGAGGGGUACGUCCGGGGUAGGAGUGAAAUCCUGUGAUCCUGGACGGACCACCGGUUGCGAAAGCGCCUCUGGAGAACGGACCCGACGGUGAGGGACGAAAGCUAGGGUCUCGAACCGGAUUAGAUACCCGGGUAGUCCUAGCUGUAAACGAUGCUCGCUAGGUGCGGCGCAGGCUACGAGCCUGCGCUGCGCCGUAGGGAAGCCGAGAAGCGAGCCGCCUGGGAAGUACGUCCGCAAGGAUGAAACUUAAAGGAAUUGGCGGGGGAGCAC
Molecule: ribosomal RNA, 555 nt
Filed under: uncultured Halococcus sp.
Lineage: Archaea; Methanobacteriati; Methanobacteriota; Halobacteria; Halobacteriales; Halococcaceae
Description: bacterial SSU rRNA
Rfam family: Archaeal small subunit ribosomal RNA
Source: RNAcentral